RNAcentral lists this ribosomal RNA (1663 nucleotides) under Salmonella enterica. Its description in RNAcentral is "partial 23S ribosomal RNA". It matches the Rfam family "Bacterial large subunit ribosomal RNA", at positions 1157 to 2803 of the family's 2925-position model. The record is from RNAcentral. Lineage: Bacteria; Pseudomonadati; Pseudomonadota; Gammaproteobacteria; Enterobacterales; Enterobacteriaceae.
GCCUGCGCGGAAGAUGUAACGGGGCUAAACCAUGCACCGAAGCUGCGGCAGCGACACUGUGUGUUGUUGGGUAGGGGAGCGUUCUGUAAGCCUGCGAAGGUGGCCUGUGAGGGUUGCUGGAGGUAUCAGAAGUGCGAAUGCUGACAUAAGUAACGAUAAAGCGGGUGAAAAGCCCGCUCGCCGGAAGACCAAGGGUUCCUGUCCAACGUUAAUCGGGGCAGGGUGAGUCGACCCCUAAGGCGAGGCCGAAAGGCGUAGUCGAUGGGAAACGGGUUAAUAUUCCCGUACUUGGUGUUACUGCGAAGGGGGGACGGAGAAGGCUAUGUUGGCCGGGCGACGGUUGUCCCGGUUUAAGCGUGUAGGUGUGUGUUCCAGGUAAAUCCGGUUCACUUUAACACUGAGGCGUGACGACGAGGCACUACGGUGCUGAAGCAACAAAUGCCCUGCUUCCAGGAAAAGCCUCUAAGCAUCAGGUAACAUCAAAUCGUACCCCAAACCGACACAGGUGGUCAGGUAGAGAAUACCAAGGCGCUUGAGAGAACUCGGGUGAAGGAACUAGGCAAAAUGGUGCCGUAACUUCGGGAGAAGGCACGCUGACACGUAGGUGAAGUGAUUUACUCAUGGAGCUGAAGUCAGUCGAAGAUACCAGCUGGCUGCAACUGUUUAUUAAAAACACAGCACUGUGCAAACACGAAAGUGGACGUAUACGGUGUGACGCCUGCCCGGUGCCGGAAGGUUAAUUGAUGGGGUCAGCGCAAGCGAAGCUCCUGAUCGAAGCCCCGGUAAACGGCGGCCGUAACUAUAACGGUCCUAAGGUAGCGAAAUUCCUUGUCGGGUAAGUUCCGACCUGCACGAAUGGCGUAAUGAUGGCCAGGCUGUCUCCACCCGAGACUCAGUGAAAUUGAACUCGCUGUGAAGAUGCAGUGUACCCGCGGCAAGACGGAAAGACCCCGUGAACCUUUACUAUAGCUUGACACUGAACAUUGAGCCUUGAUGUGUAGGAUAGGUGGGAGGCUUUGAAGUGUGGACGCCAGUCUGCAUGGAGCCGACCUUGAAAUACCACCCUUUAAUGUUUGAUGUUCUAACGUGGACCCGUUACCCGGGUUGCGGACAGUGUCUGGUGGGUAGUUUGACUGGGGCGGUCUCCUCCUAAAGAGUAACGGAGGAGCACGAAGGUUGGCUAAUCCUGGUCGGACAUCAGGAGGUUAGUGCAAUGGCAUAAGCCAGCUUGACUGCGAGCGUGACGGCGCGAGCAGGUGCGAAAGCAGGUCAUAGUGAUCCGGUGGUUCUGAAUGGAAGGGCCAUCGCUCAACGGAUAAAAGGUACUCCGGGGAUAACAGGCUGAUACCGCCCAAGAGUUCAUAUCGACGGCGGUGUUUGGCACCUCGAUGUCGGCUCAUCACAUCCUGGGGCUGAAGUAGGUCCCAAGGGUAUGGCUGUUCGCCAUUUAAAGUGGUACGCGAGCUGGGUUUAGAACGUCGUGAGACAGUUCGGUCCCUAUCUGCCGUGGGCGCUGGAGAACUGAGGGGGGCUGCUCCUAGUACGAGAGGACCGGAGUGGACGCAUCACUGGUGUUCGGGUUGUCAUGCCAAUGGCACUGCCCGGUAGCUAAAUGCGGAAGAGAUAAGUGCUGAAAGCAUCUAAGCACGAAACUUGCCCCGAG